GACGAACGCUGGCGGCGUGCUUAACACAUGCCAGUCGAACGGAAAGGCCCUGCUUUUGUGCGGUGCUCGAGUGGCGAACGGGUGAGUAACACGUGAGUAACCUGCACUUGACUUUGGGAUAACUUCAGGAAACUGGGGGUAAUACCGGAUAGGAGCUCCUGCUGCAUGGUGGGGGUUGGAAGGUUUCGUCGGUUGGGGUUGGACUCGCGGCGUAUCCGCUUGUUGGUGGGGUGGUGGGUUACCAAGGCUUUGACGGGUAGCCGGCCUGAGAGGGUGACCGGACACAUUGGAACUGAGUGACGGCCCAGGCACUUACGGGAGGUAGCAGGUGGGAAUAAGGCUCAAUCGGCGGAAGCGUGAGGCAGCAACCGCGCGUGCGGGAUGUCGGCCGUCGUUAUGUAAACCGAUUUCGCCUGUGACGAAGCGUGAUGGACGGAACGGGUGAAGAAGCACCGGCUAACUCCGUG
This 467-nucleotide ribosomal RNA is filed under the name uncultured bacterium. RNAcentral's name for it is "partial 16S ribosomal RNA". It matches the Rfam family "Bacterial small subunit ribosomal RNA", at positions 28 to 507 of the family's 1533-position model. The record is from RNAcentral.